AAUAACUUACCUGCCGAAUGAAUUAGCCCUGAAAAUGGAUGGCGCUCAAGCGGGCAGCCGACACCACACCGUUUGUUUUAUAUAUAACAGAUGAGUAGGAGGGCGUGGUGGCCGUAUCGAAGCAUGCGUGCGAACGCUUGUGGAACGGCCACUAGUGCAGAUCUUGGUGGUAGUAGCAAAUAUUCAAGCGAGAUCCUUGAAGGGCGAAGCGGGGAAGGGUUCCACGCGAACAUUGAUUGGGCGUGGGUGAGUCGUUCCUAAGCCGAGUGGCCAUUGCUAAUUAUAGGCGAAAGGGAAGCGGGUUGAAAUUCCCGCACACGGAUGUGGAGGCGGUGACGCACAUUGAGACGAAAACAUCGGCGAUGGCGCUGGGCAGAGAUGUCUUUUCUGUUUAAUCAUUAUCAUGCUGUGUGGAAUCCGCUUGUCGGGAGAAACACGCAUGAAAGGUAAGAGCGCCGGGGCUUUUCCGGCGUCCAGCUCGCCAACGACGGUCCUUGAAAAUUUGUCUAAUGAUCAGAUCCACGCCGUGGCGUACCGAUAACCGCAUCAGGUCCCCAAGGUGAACAGCCUCUGUCCAGUAUGAAUAAU
This 588-nucleotide ribosomal RNA is filed under the name Champia parvula. RNAcentral describes it as "eukaryotic LSU rRNA". It matches the Rfam family "Eukaryotic large subunit ribosomal RNA", at positions 1284 to 1899 of the family's 3401-position model. The record is from RNAcentral. Lineage: Eukaryota; Rhodophyta; Florideophyceae; Rhodymeniales; Champiaceae.